RNAcentral lists this ribosomal RNA (253 nucleotides) under uncultured bacterium. RNAcentral describes it as "partial 16S ribosomal RNA". It matches the Rfam family "Bacterial small subunit ribosomal RNA", at positions 524 to 776 of the family's 1533-position model. The record is from RNAcentral.
UACGUAGGGUGCAAGCGUUGUCCGGAAUUAUUGGGCGUAAAGAGCUCGUAGGCGGUCUGUCGCGUCGGACGUGAAAACCCAGGGCUCAACCCUGGGCCUGCGUUCGAUACGGGCAGACUAGAGUUCGGUAGGGGAGACUGGAAUUCCUGGUGUAGCGGUGAAAUGCGCAGAUAUCAGGAGGAACACCGGUGGCGAAGGCGGGUCUCUGGGCCGAAACUGACGCUGAGGAGCGAAAGCGUGGGGAGCGAACAGG